Molecule: long non-coding RNA, 200 nt
Filed under: Theobroma cacao (cacao)
Lineage: Eukaryota; Viridiplantae; Streptophyta; Magnoliopsida; Malvales; Malvaceae
Description: long non-coding RNA (TCAC_LNC000298)
Source: RNAcentral
AUUUCUUCAGUAGCUUCUUCUUUUUCUCAUCCCAACUCACGUUUCUUUUAUCCUCCAUGAAAGCUUCUCUCAAAGCUUUCAUCACCCUAUCAAGUUAACCUUAAAUUUCAUGCUUUUACACACCUUGUUUUAGGGUUUUUCAUACUCUUUUACUCUUUCACCUUAAAAAAACCCUCAAAAGUCUUACUCCUAUACUUUCU